RNAcentral lists this non-coding RNA (25 nucleotides) under Cricetulus griseus (Chinese hamster). The record is from RNAcentral. Lineage: Eukaryota; Metazoa; Chordata; Mammalia; Rodentia; Cricetidae.
AUCAGGAAGCCAAGCACGACGAACU